This is a long non-coding RNA of Amphibalanus amphitrite, 7252 nucleotides long. RefSeq lists it as uncharacterized. NCBI's taxonomy places the organism in Eukaryota, Metazoa, Arthropoda, Thecostraca, Balanomorpha, Balanidae. The record is from RefSeq and is a predicted model, not a curated record. The transcript is spliced from 3 exons.
UGCUUCCAAUGAAAUGCACGAAGCAAUGACUGCAUAAUGCAUUCUUUGUUUUAAAAACAAAACUGUGCAAUAAAAAUUGCACAAAACUUGUUCGAUAUCUAAUCUACCUUUGGUGGCUUCAGCUUACCUGACAGUUCAUUUAUGUAUCCACAUUGCUAGGAAGCAUAUCAUCCGUCUAAUCCAAACAUAAACUAUUCUCGUUGUUGAAACUGGUGACGCACAAGCUGACGUAACGUUAGUGGAGACUUCAUCUCAAAAAACAGCCUGCAUGGGCUAAAAUCCCGGGGGGCGCGUAUGGCUCGUAUCAUUUGCGAGGCACGCGACGGGAGCCUUGAGGAGCUUUCCAUGCUAGAGCGCCUCUAAACCCAGGUCUCACUUGGAGAUCGAUCUCACUCGGAGAUCAUGAGUCUGUUGUAGAGUGGCGUCAUUUUACGUCCAGUCCACCGAACCAGUGUGCACAAUUGCUGGCGGUGGAUACCAGACUCCCCCCACGGGUCGUCAUGUGCGAGGCAAGGUCGGGGAUAAGAUAUCACGGCAGCAAUUGAAGAUAAAAUUGAGUUUAUUCAUGUAAAUGCUAUUAGGCUGCUACAUUUGCACAAUGAGUGAGUGCAAAGCUUCUCUUUAAUUGAUAUUUAUCAUUAUCCAAGCAGACUAUUGCCUGAUACGUCUGAGUCUACAUUCACUUCAUCCAGGAAAAUGCUUCAAAAUCGCGUUUUUCGUCGGUAAAUAGCAUUGCAACCUUGCGUCAGUUGACACAAGCUUUCACUGCCGCAUCCGGAAUCUCAGUGCAUAGGUGUCUAUGCAUCAUGAGCUUAGGUAUUGUUUCCUUUUUCGUUAGAUCAUGCUUCAACUUAUAGCGCUUAAUCGUUCAUGCCAAACAAAGUUUGCGGACUUGUGAUAUAUUUCCUUCAACAAAUGUCCGUCAAAUGAGGCUACAAAUGAGCUGCUUUCUUCUGCCAAUUAUGUUACUAUAGCACGUUGCUAAUGGAAGGUGGUUAUGAAUAAGACUAUUUGCAGUUGUGCCUCAUCAUCACUUAUUUGCCAAAUGCAAUUUCAAUUGCUGCUGUUAUCCCCGGCUAUAGUGUCUACGGUGGCGAGCUUUCUCCGCGGACCUUCAACUUCAAGACCUUCUACUUCAAGACCUUCAAUUUCUAGACAACUAAAGGGAUAUUCUCGUCAUACUGUACUCUCGAUGACCUGCAUGUCGGGCGUGCCAUGUCCUGAGGAGCGUUGUUUUCAAUACCCUCAGUGCACAUACUGCACCAGACUAUAUUUACGGACGUUGACUGUUUGCUUUAGGCACUGUUUCAAGCAUUGUACGAUGGCCGAAAACAAUAGUAUUUGGUAACGUUUUCAAGUGCCAUUUGGAGUAUCCGAAACUACGACGCAAUGUUAGUCGGAAAUAACGUAUCUAGUUAAUCAUGUUAUCGCAUGAUGUUCUUGUUCAUUGGCAAACAUUAUUUCAGCAGUCGAUACGUCCUCCAAACUUCAGUAACCGUUACUAUAUAGUCCCCGUUCGUCACAAACAACCGUUGACAUUUCGUCAACCUCAAAUUCGAAUAUAUUAACCGUUUACACGCACGAGAAUAUCCCUUUAUCCAAACUAGCAAGUGUGUCUACUGUUUUCUUACUAGGCAAACAAAAGUUUGUCACAGCAUGUGCGCAGUUCACUUUACCUAUGUGCAUUCAUACUAAAAGCCAUUCGUCCACAAGCAAGUUAUUUGCGCAAUUGACGUAAGCUUUCAUGAAGGCCAAACCAAUGCUGAUUCGUCAAUGCUGAUUGUCAGCUUGAAAGUAAAGAUGAGCAAAGUGGUUCAACUGAAUCUUAUGGUUGCAGUAGGGCAUAUUAGAAGUAAGUAAGUGACAAGUAUGUGUCAGCAAUUGCUUAUGCUUCUUAACCCUAGAUACUUUUGAUUCAAUCCUUUUGGUGAUGACGUAAUGUGGCAGAAAACAGUAGACACGCUUCAUCUUAUCGGAAACCCUGAAUGAUUGGUAUUUGUGAGCAUGUGUGCCUGUGAGUGUGUAAGGGUGGAUGUGGGUGUGUGGGUAUGUAUGUGCGUAUGUGAGGGUGUGCGUGUCAUCUUACAAGUAAUUUAGUGAAUGAGUGCAUAGGUACUAGUUUUCAAGUAAAUACGUGCAUGAGUGCAUGUAGUCAGUGGUGUAUGGAACUCGCAUUGUGCCUGCCUGCUGCCAACGAAAUAUGCAAGCCCACACAGAGAAAACAGUUUUGUUGUGCGAAACUUCAUGCUGCUGGCAGGGUUUACAUGCAAGUCACAUAUUGCAGGUCUACCAUAAGCAGAGCAAUGUGACAUCUGAUAAGUAACUCACAGCAACACAUACUCUGCAUGUCCAGGGAAAGUGAGUUGUGCUCGGAACACAUUGGCCAGACAGUUUUGUCCUAUCAAAUUCAGAAUUGUUUUAUCCUCCUCACAGUUGUCAUUAACACUUCAUGAGCACACAUUAUUGCUAGAUCUGAAUGCCAGCUGCCUAUUGCACUGCUGGCACGUAGUUGGAGACAAAGGUGCCGCCAGUUUUCCACCUCGCUGCUGAUACAAUGCAAUACUGCUACAAAAUGUCCGUGUUCUGUGUUUUUAGUGUUGUAUGUUUGUAUAUGUGUCUUGCGUCGUAUGCGCAUUACCUACAUAAGUUUUAAGUGUUCCCGCGAAAGUAGGUACUGAAUUAGCUCAAGCCAGGAUUGCGUUGCGGAGAUAUUUGUAGCCCAUACAAUGUUUUAUGGCGUCAUUUACGACACUUUCUGUUUUUUCUUGUCAUUGUAUGCACGUGAGUUGUGCCGCAUGUUGCGCUUGCAAAUCAUGUUCUCAAUGCCAUUUUCUUUUGAUACAAUUGGUCACCACUACACAUCACUCGCAUACACUCGCCCAAGCAAGUCGGAUAUCAAUCACUGUCCAGAAGUGCAUGAUGCAUUCAACCACGCAUAGAACACUGGCACACCAAGAACAUGAACUCACGCAAAAACGAGAGGACUAUUACACGACUUCGCAUUGGACACACCGCUAUCACACACAACUACAUCAUCACAAGAAGCCCGAGACCGAAAUGCAACACCUGCAACACUUUCAUCACUGUCAAACAUCUGCUACUCACAUGCCCACAAUACCAACACCACAGGACAAACAUACAAACAUACUGCAGAGACGCCAACAUCCCACUAACACUCACAACACUGCUCGGGGACUUACACCCCGAGCUAACAACACUACUCAUCCACUAAAGACACAACACUGGGCUGAUAAAUGACCUGUAAAUCUCCUCCCCUAGAGCCAAGGACAAAAAAGCCAAAAAAAAAAGCCAAAAAAGAAGCCAAAAAGAAAAAAACAACAUUCAAAACAAUAAGAAUCAAAAUAAAAGACCCCAGAAUGGCAAAAUGGCAAAAAAAAAAACAAAAAACGAAAAAAAAAAACAAUAGAAGGGGCAAUCCGGCUAACCGGGAGGAGAUAGCUAGGAACCCUGACCCACCUCUCAGCCCACCCUUACGAGCCAAGAAGACGACGGACACUUCAAGACAAUGGACGGACCAACAACGAAGACGGACGACAGAACCGGGCCCAAAUACAGAACGCUGUGGUGGCCCGUAAGCCACAAAUACCAUACCAUACCAUACCAGUGCAUCAUGCAGCAGAAGAAGCUUCAUUGAACACACUCGUCAUCAUGAACGGCAUCUUAGGAGCUUCAUGAGUUUGGAUCUGUGACCAGUUGUUUUCGCAGUAUCCAAUAGCAACCGUGUAUGACCAGGCGCCGCUUGGACGCCUUGUCCAGCCACGUCUUCCGGGACUGUGUGAUGACUGCCUCUGCAAUCUCAAGUGCCAGUUUCUGCCUCCGGCCUAUUUCUUUAUCAAAGGAUGUUGGUAACUGAACGACCAGCUCUGCUCCAAGAUUCCAAAUCGUUUUACGGUAUUUUAUCCCUACAAAACGUUAAUAUUUGCUGGACGCGUUGAUGCCCGAAUAGGAUGACCUUUAUUCCUAGAUACAGGCAUUCAACGUUGAAUCAAUUACGCUUCUAGCCUUCUGUUUAUUGGCUUUACAUACUUUUUAUUAAUAUUUAUCAUGUGUCUAGCCUGCAAUUCAUUUUACUCACCACCAUCGGACGUCACAACUAUAAGCUUAUAACUACUAUAUACAACUAUAAGCUAUAAGCAGCUAUUCGCUGACUUGACAUAUGAUAUUUUCGCGACGACUCGUUUCGCCCUUCCGCCAUGUUAACUAAUCAUCCGUUACAUCUUUAUGUCAACAGGUAUAGUACAAGUCAUCCUUACCGUCGAUACCGUAGAAGAAUUUGCCGUCGACCACGGAACACAUAUUGUGCUUCCCGUUGCUGGUAAUUUUUUAUUUGUCACUUAGGUGACAGUUACUAUAGUUCGUUUUCUUUUUAAAGUUCGGCCCUGACUGUAAACAUCUUUUUGAACACAGCACGAGAAUUACUGAGAAAAUUGGUUAGCGCCCAUUGAUACCGUUGUGUUAAACGCGGUGCGAUUUAUUAAUUAGUUCAGUUAUCACUCCUGACAAAUCGUCUAUCCCUGUGGGGUUGUAAAUAUGAGCAAAUACGAGCUGAGGGGUCUGGGAAAUAGGAGCCAGAAAGAAAUAACUUUGAUAAAGUUUUUCAUCAGUGAAAUUCAACGUGCGACAACCAUUUUCCUCUUCUUAGUAAUUCAGCUAGCAAUUCUCGUGCUGUGUUCGAAGAGACGUUUACAGUGAGGGUCGAACUUAGGACGAACUAUGGCACCUAUCAGCAGAUAUACGUUCAUAAUGCAACAAGGGAACGAAAAGCGUGUUCAAAACUUUAACUCAUUGUCCUUAUGUGCCUGCAGGCUGAUUUCGCAGUAUCCAAUGGCAACCGUGUAUGACCAGGCGCCGCUUGGACGCCUUGUCCAGUCACGUCUUCUGGGACUGUGUGAUGACUGCCUCUGCACUCUCAAGUGCCAGUUUCUGCCUCCGGCCUAUUUCAUUAUCAAAGGAUGCUGUUAGCUGAACGAACAGCUCUGCUCCAAGAUUCCAAACGUUUUUACGGUAUUGUAUGCCUACAAAACGUUAGUAUUUUUUGAAGGCGGUAAUACUCGGAUGAACUGACCUAUAUGGGUGGGUAUUCAACGUUGAAUCAAGUAGGCUUGUAGCCCUCUGCCUAUUGACUUCUAAGGGUUUUAGUAAAAUUUAUAUAAUAUCUCAUCUGAUCAGCAUUUUCACUCUCAGUCGUCGAAAUUGAAAAAUCAUAAGCUUAGAAAUCCGCGGACUUGACAUAUUAUAUUUUCUCGACGAUUCGUUUCGACUUGCCGUCAUGUCAGCUAAUCAUCCGCUGCUUCUCCUAUUUUCACAGGUGAAUUACCAGUCGUCUUUACCGUCGAUACCGUUGAAGAUUUUACCGUCGAUCAGGGAGCACCCAUUGCGCUGGCCGUUGCUGGCACUUUUUUAUUUGUCACUAGCUAUUAGUUAUCUGCAGAUAUACAUUAGCCACCUGUGCACCCGCUUACACAAGCUCUCAGCAUCUAGUUCUACGUAUGUGUGUGUUUGUUUUAAUUGAAUUGCCAAUGAAUUCGGUAGACAUGCUCCGCCCGCAAACAUGUACCACAUGAUGCAGUCCACUGAAUGUAGCAGUUAAUCUCUCGUAAAAAGCAGUCAUGUUUUCGUAUAGUGUAGGUUUGCAUCUAUGUAAGCAUGUGUUCACACUCAUGAGCGAUCCACACAUGAUAUUGCAUUUCCUGUUCAGUUACAUUUUUUAACACGAUGCUCAUACACUGCGUUGUUAUCUUUCUUUUUUUUCGCCUGCUCCUUCCUCCAACUUGUGUCUUUGAGUAUUUCAGUCACAUGCUCAAACGUUCUUAAAUGCUCUCGCCAUCGGUUUACGCAUGCGUUGAAAACGGACACGUGUUGACCAAAUUUAACAAUAUGCGGACAAUGGAUCGACUUCUUGAAGCCUGUGGACGUGAUAAACCUUCUCCAUCACCAUCAAGAGAUCAACAUUUUCGAAGACACUUGCGUACGGCUGGCUUCGGCUGCAGCACAAGCCACAUUCAUCGGCCCAAUCAUCAGUUAUUCAUCCUGCAAGUUUUAAGUCACUUCGUUGUGACCCGGACAUCGUCAUCUUUCAACGACUUCAAAUGACUAUUUCAUUCAUCAUCGUCGAUCAGACUCAUCAUGUAAAGACACUUCCAUAAUGCUAUCUGCCAUCUACGUUUGUGCAGGAAGCAAAUAUCAGGUUGUUAUUAGCUGCAGGCUACUCAGUACCGACUGAACUACUGGCAGUAGUGUGCGAGCACCUAAUACUUGUAUUGUGAUACCAAAGUAAAACGGAUGAUAGCUUAGCGCAUAGCGCCCUACCGCUUUCCACACACACAUAAACAAAACUUGACUUUGGGCAUUAGCACGAUGGCAAGAUUAACAGGCAGUUUCGCUGUUUUUCACUGCUUUCAUUGGCAGGUGUUACUGCUCAUUCCCGUUUCAUGUGAUGUUAGAACAGCCUUCACCAUAGUCCUGUUUUCUCCUUUGCCGUUUUCCAUAGACAUCCGAUGCGACAUGCACUCCAACGAUCGGUCAGGCGCAUCACCGUCAAUCCGGUCGCCUGUUAAUCAGUUCGUAAUCACCGUCAGUCUUCGACAUCUGUCAACACACUUGUUCACAUUAUCGCCUUACUUUUGAUCUUAUCAAUAUGCAAGAAUGAGUGCAAAAUGCAUUGCAAUAUUGCAUCAGUUGAUGUUGUAUCGCAAUGACACCGCGUCCUCACCUCACAUCUGUUGUGCAUACUUGAUCACGAAUGCCAGUUAUACGCAGAUUCACAUGGUGAAGUUUUACUCCGUUGACGUUUUCUUUCCAUUCUUGUAGUCUAUCAAGAGUGGUUACAGUUGCAUAUGCGGCCUUACACAUGCGUCCUUACAUGCUAGCUGAUUGAUAUGUUGGACACAUUGGUUCCUGUAACUCCAAGUAGUUCUGCAUUGGUAUUGCUUCACUUUAUAUGUUCUACCCAAAGAUCGUUUCUAGUUUUGUCUUAGCUUGCAGCUGUAUGCCAUGAACAUACAGGGUACUGCGCAUCUUUAUCGUGACAUUCCUGUAGUUUCGUCGCUUUCGCGGAUGAUUAGGACCAUGAGCUCAGUUGCAGAUGCGUCCAGCAGCCACCGACAUUUCUACACUUUAAAUUCCUAGUCUCGGUUCUUAUCCACAUACCAACAUGAUUUGAACAUUUCACACGAUUAGUGAUGAAAUGAACAGGUAUCAUCUACUACAUUAUAUUUUCAUGUAAAGCACA